Molecule: transfer RNA, 69 nt
Filed under: Colochirus quadrangularis
Lineage: Eukaryota; Metazoa; Echinodermata; Holothuroidea; Dendrochirotida; Cucumariidae
Description: tRNA-Arg
Source: RNAcentral
GAAAGACUAGUUUAAAAAAACAUGAAGUUUCGACCUUCAAAUUCCUAGAAACAACUCUAAGGUCCUUCU